Molecule: ribosomal RNA, 253 nt
Filed under: uncultured bacterium
Lineage: Bacteria
Description: partial 16S ribosomal RNA
Rfam family: Bacterial small subunit ribosomal RNA
Source: RNAcentral
UACGGGGGGGGCAAGCGUUGUUCGGAAUUACUGGGCGUAAAGGGCUUGUAGGUGGCCAACUAAGUCAGACGUGAAAUCCCUCAGCUUAACUGGGGAACUGCGUCUGAUACUGGAUGGCUUGAGAUUGGGAGAGGGACGCGGAAUUCCAGGUGUAGCGGUGAAAUGCGUAGAUAUCUGGAGGAACACCGGUGGCGAAGGCGGCGUCCUGGACCAACACUGACACUGAAGAGCGAAAGCCAGGGGAGCAAACGGG